UACGGAGGGAGCUAGCGUUGUUCGGAAUUACUGGGCGUAAAGCGCGCGUAGGCGGCUUUGUAAGUUAGAGGUGAAAGCCCGGGGCUCAACCCCGGAAUUGCCCUUGAUACUGAGGAUCUUGAGUUCGGGAGAGGUGAGUGGAACUGCGAGUGUAGAGGUGAAAUUCGUAGAUAUUCGCAAGAACACCAGUGGCGAAGGCGGCUCACUGGCCCGAUACUGACGCUGAGGCACGAAAGCGUGGGGAGCAAACAGG
RNAcentral lists this ribosomal RNA (253 nucleotides) under uncultured bacterium. RNAcentral describes it as "partial 16S ribosomal RNA". It matches the Rfam family "Bacterial small subunit ribosomal RNA", at positions 524 to 776 of the family's 1533-position model. The record is from RNAcentral.